RNAcentral lists this unclassified non-coding RNA (411 nucleotides) under Acacia drummondii subsp. drummondii. Its description in RNAcentral is "partial external transcribed spacer". The record is from RNAcentral. Lineage: Eukaryota; Viridiplantae; Streptophyta; Magnoliopsida; Fabales; Fabaceae.
GGGGUUUUGGAGUCUUCCUCCUGGCCUGUCCCCCUCCCGGCCUACAGAAGAUCGGCCUGGGGAUCCCGAGGGGUCGUUAGGGAGGUAUGCUCCCCCCCCGGUUCUUUUUUUGCCUCCCCCUCCCCUGGAAGGGCACCAGACUUUAUGUAAGAAUCCUUCAUCCGGCCUCCAACAGGGGCCGGAGGAGGACAAAGGACCACCCCCCGUGUUCCACCGAGCCGUCGUUGGUCUGGUGACCCGCGGGGAAGUGCGCUGCUCUCGGCACCAGCGCACGCCGUGGGGGAGGACUCACGCCCCCGUCAAAGAAGAAGCUUCAAAAUAAAGCACGACGGCCGCUCCCGCCCCCCACCACCCCGGCGGCGCGAGGGCGAGGCGCGGCGUCGCGGAGGAAUGCUACCUGGUUGAUCCUGC